UUACUACGCGUCUCGUGGGCUCGGAGAUGUGUAUAAGAGACAGGCAUAUCAAACUCCGAAUGCCAUCAAGAUGAUUCAUGGGAGUCAGACCAUACGAGAUAAGUUGGAUGGUCAAAAGGGAAAGAGCCCAGACCUACAGCUAAGGUCCCAAAGUACGUGUUAAGUGGAAAAGGAUGUGGGGAUUCUAAGACAACUAGGACGUUGGCUUAGAAGCAGCCAUUCAUUGAAAGAGUGCGUAAUAGCUCACUAGUCGAGAGUCCCUGCGCCGAAAAUGUCCGGGGCUGAAACACGACACCGAAGCUUAGGAAUGUGUAAACAUUGGUAGAGGAGCAUUGCUGGCGGGAUGAAGCCAUACCGUAAGGAGUGGUGGACUGCUAGGAAGAGAGAAUGCCGGAAUGAGUAGCGAGAUGAAGGUGAGAAUCCUUCAGGCCGAAUAUCUAAGGUUUCCAGAGUAAAGCUGAUCUGCUCUGGGUAAGUCGGGACCUAAGGCGAGGUCGAAAGACGUAGUCGAUGGAUAACAGGUUGAAAUUCCUGUACCGCAUAUAAACAGAACUGUGGGGACACAGACAGGGAAUGGAAUCCGGGAGUGGAUAUCCCGGUGCAAGCGAGGUAGGAGUGCUGUUGGCAAAUCCGCAGCACGAUCUGAAGACGUGACGCGUACCGAACAUAAGUAGGGAAGUCCAGGCCCCUGGCUGUCAAGAAAAGCCGCUAUUGUUUUAUAUGUGCCCGUACCGCAAACCGACACAGGUGGAUGAGGAGAGAAUCCUAAGGCCGACGGGAGAAGUAUUGUUAAGGAACUCGGCAAAAUGACUCCGUAACUUCGGGAGAAGGAGUGCCAUGAGAGUGGCCGCAGAGAAAUGGCCCAAGCAACUGUUUAGCAAAAACACAGGUCUAUGCAAAACCGCAAGGUGAAGUAUAUGGGCUGACGCCUGCCCGGUGCUGGAAGGUUAAGGGGAGAGGUUAGCGCAAGCGAAGCUUUGAACUUAAGCCCCAGUAAACGGCGGCCGUAACUAUAACGGUCCUAAGGUAGCGAAAUUCCUUGUCGGGUAAGUUCCGACCCGCACGAA
RNAcentral lists this ribosomal RNA (1067 nucleotides) under human gut metagenome. RNAcentral describes it as "bacterial LSU rRNA". It matches the Rfam family "Bacterial large subunit ribosomal RNA", at positions 889 to 1996 of the family's 2925-position model. The record is from RNAcentral.